CGUCAUCUUAACGAAGAUUCUUGUCAUUCCAUUUAAUGCGACACCACAUAUCUCCUCAUUUGCUAUACCAUAGGUAUCGCGAAUGAUCGCUGGUAAUAAUAAAUCCAUGUUGGAUCCUGUGACAGCACCACGGAUCAUCUCAAUGCAGACAGUGUUGAUUCUUCUUCUGCUAUUCAGCGCCAUGUUGGAGAAAAUAAAGUUUCCACCAACCAACGCUAGGGGCAGCUCAAUCAGGUAAACUGCGCAAAACAAACUCAAACAGGAGCGUCUGCGCAGCUCGUCCACACGGCUCGGAGGCGAUGAGGACAAUUCCCCCUUGAUUGUAAUAAUAAUAAUUAUCUCCCUGAUACACCCAGUCAACUAACUGCAUGAAAACCACCUGGUGGUUCACACUCACACACCCAAUUGACUAUAAACACAGAAUUAAGAAUCAUAAAAUAAUGAAUUCUAACUAGUCAUAAGUUUGCCUUUGAUACUCCAGUACAGAAACUAUGUAUUGUACCAAAACAAAAACAUUCACAUUGCUAAAUUUACAAACGCUAAUGUAGUUAGCCUUAAUACCAACUUGCUCCAUAAUCUGUAAUAAUUUAGAGUUAUGAAUUAGUCUGCCCAAAAUGCCUAGCCAUGCUAGGUGUGAUAAUGGCCUCCUCUGUAAUUAGUAUUUUAUAACAUGUAAAUCACACAAUAUUGUGAGGGAAAAGUAGGUGUAAGUGGGGUUAAGGUUGUUCGGGCAACCAGGAACCAUUAGCGAGUUACGUUGCGCGCGCACUCACCCCCCCCUCUCUGGCGGGCUGGGGCAAAACUAGUUCCUGGUGUCCGAUUUGUUAAAGUUUCUACUCCUGGUAAUAUUGACCUUACCUGGUGUGGAUUGAAGUUUGGAGAGUCACUUCGCCUCCACUCUUCUCCUAAUCAGCUCUGUUCCUGGCGUGGUCUUCCAGGAUAGACGCCAGAUAAAGGGGCAAGACGUGUUAAUAGUACUUAUUAACAUUAUUCUACAACUACCGGCCCUUACCUAUACUACUUGUGCUCCAUCCAAGUGGUAGGAGAUUCCAGAACAUCGGAUUACCAUCUGCCCAGGAUAACCUACAUAAAUAACAUCAGAGGAACUAUCCAGGGCCAUACCUACUCCUACCCAACUACAAGAACUGAAGGCCAUUUUUUUUUUUAUUAUAUUUAAAUUUUAAGUAAAAUUCUCAAAAAUCAU
Cherax quadricarinatus is the source of this 1204-nucleotide long non-coding RNA. RefSeq lists it as uncharacterized. The record is from RefSeq and is a predicted model, not a curated record. Lineage: Eukaryota; Metazoa; Arthropoda; Malacostraca; Decapoda; Parastacidae.